AGAAUGACUCUCGGCAACGGAUAUCUAGGCUCUUGCAUCGAUGAAGAACGUAGCGAAAUGCGAUACUUGGUGUGAAUUGCAGAAUCCCGUGAACCAUCGAGUCUUUGAACGCAAGUUGCGCCCGAUGCCAUUAGGUUGAGGGCACGUCUGCCUGGGUGUCACAA
This 164-nucleotide ribosomal RNA is filed under the name Lathyrus clymenum var. articulatus. RNAcentral's name for it is "5.8S ribosomal RNA". It matches the Rfam family "5.8S ribosomal RNA". From Rfam's summary of the family: 5.8S ribosomal RNA (5.8S rRNA) is a component of the large subunit of the eukaryotic ribosome. It is transcribed by RNA polymerase I as part of the 45S precursor that also contains 18S and 28S rRNA. Functionally, it is thought that 5.8S rRNA may be involved in ribosome translocation. Lineage: Eukaryota; Viridiplantae; Streptophyta; Magnoliopsida; Fabales; Fabaceae. The record is from RNAcentral.